Molecule: long non-coding RNA, 2670 nt
Organism: Stegodyphus dumicola
Lineage: Eukaryota; Metazoa; Arthropoda; Arachnida; Araneae; Eresidae
Source: RefSeq, a predicted model, not a curated record
AAUUAACAACUCCGAUGUAUAACUUCAGUAUUACUCAGAAAUAGCAUAUACUUAGUUCAAGUAUUUCAUACUCUAGCUGGUUAGUGUAUCUUCUUAUCUCAUUGGGCCAAUACCUGUUUGAUUCGAUAGUGAAGUUUUAGGAGCUCCCAUGCACGUUUACUUGUUUACCUGUUCAGGAUUGUGUAAGGACCGUCCGAGGGUGACUGUAGUUUAGGAGAAACUCCUUUCCUUCGAAUUGGAUUCCAUAACCACACUUUGUCAUUUUUGUUAAAUUGAUGUCCUGUAGCUCUCGUGUCGAACUGGGCCUUCAUCUUCUCCGUCACUUGCUGUCGAGCAAAAUUGAACAUGAUUUGAAACCGUGCCUGGAGAAUGGCACCUCAGGCGAUCCGAAGAGCAAUCAAACAAUAAAUCACGAAGGUGACGACAAAAGAGCGUCUGAGAUCGAAUAGCACUACGGUGGGCCAGUUAACGUGUGGUCCCAGUACUGUUGAUUUCUGGAAAGAAUUAGCGAGUGGUUACUAAAGGUAAUUCGGUCAAACCUCUUUACCAUGGCUGUGGGUGUAAAGGAUUCCUUUGGGUUUUGUCUAUGCCGAGUAAAUUAUAAAGGUCUUUUAUUAUAGUUGAGAUAAAAUUUCUUCCUUCAGAGUUCAUACAUCAAGGAACAAAAAUGGAAUUUGUCGCUCGUUCCUUUGUAAUCUGGAUAAUUCAUUGGUUGGAUAAGAGUUCUUAUGGUGGUCGGCAGAAACGCAACACAGAUGUUUUCCAUGUUUCUUAGCCCAUUCUUUUAUAUAUUAGUAGCCAGCUUAUUUUCUUCUUAUCCCAUUUCAUAUAUUUUUAUCUCACAGGCCUAAAUUUCGGAUUUAAAUUUAGAUCUUCGAAAGUACCUUUAUUUUGAUAUUGGCAGUUAUGAGGGAUUUUAUAGUACUUGAUUUAAAAUCACCAUGUUUCCCAAUUGAUCAAUCUCAAAACAUUACAUUUUUAGUCGUAUUUAUAGGAACCGACAGAGAAAUCUUUAUUUAAUAUCUGGUAUGGUGACUUCGGACAGAAUACGGGAUCUUCACACAGUUUAGUGAAUUGCUUUGGAAUUUCACGCCAGUCUUUAGAAUGUGCAUUAUUUAGAUCCUGACAGAUAUCAGGCUCGGUGCAGUUUUCUUAUCCAAUGCAUGCUUAGUAGGACUGAAGUGUGUUGAAUAGACUGUUCAGUCCACUUCUGUUUCCGAAAAUUCUGAGAACAGCGUUAUUAGUCAUUACCAAAACGUCUGGGCCAAUAGCAUCCCUAAACAGCCUUACAUACGAUUCCAAGACGUCGUUCAUAUAUUUGAUGUAUGAAUAUGUUUGAUGAUUCCACUGCAAACCAUGCAACUGCUUCCCUGGAUUUGUAUGAACAAGGUAAGGCAAGUUUCGUGUUCCUGGUUCUUUCCAGUUGCCUAGAGCUGCAAUUCAGGUUUUUACCUGGAGUCGUUAAUAAACAGUGCAAGCUCCCAUUCCUCUUGGCUGUACAGAGUAUGAUGAGGGUACCUAUAGAAGCUAUAGAAGAUAUACCUAUAUAGCUAUAGAAGAUGGAGGGAGUGAGACGCAAACUAUCCGUGUUUCAAGCAUAACGUCAAACUUCAUGCAGCGAUAGAACAGAUGAUUGGAAUUUUCGGUGUCACCAAAUCUUUUUCAAUCGCUUCGACAACGAAAGCAAAUGUUCUUCGGAUUAAAUUGUUAACACUGCAGAUCUUUGAUGACGCUGUCUAUUAAUUGAAUGAUUGCGGUUUGAAGUGACUGAAAUGUAUAUUGAGAUUUUGCGCCACCUCUAUGUGCGUACGAAUGAAGUGCGAGUUUUGUCUUUUAUUUGACAGCUUAUGAUAAAUAAUAAUCCUCAAAAUCUAAAUUUAAACAUUCAGAUUUCAGUAUUAGUGCCUUGCGGAACAUGUUAGCUGCGUACGUUUGAGCGUUAAAGUACUGAGGGGAAGAAGGUCCGGUUUUAAUUUAGUUUCCACAUAAUCUAGAUAUUCGUUUAUAAACUUAACCACUAAGAACAAUUUUCUUUUUCAGAUUGCUGAAGAGUGGAAGAAAAAAAAAACUUACUUUACAUGCAGAGCUCUUGAAGCGAGAACCUCCUUUGGGUAGGGUAGAUUUCAUCUGUAUAGAAGAGGGUAUGUUCGUUCCUUUAUAGGACGUAUUGUUGUUCAAAGUGAUGAUGGAAGCUGGAGAAAAAAUAAGAAUUGUACACGCCACGUAGGGAAAGUAUGAAAGAUAAGGAAAGGGUACAAGAAGUGGUUUAAGCUGAAGUACCUAAGAGAAUUAAUUCCUUCCGGGGCCCCAGAGACAGGCUGGCAAGAGACUUCGCUUCUACAGAGAGAUCUCAAGUUCUAUCCUCGGUUCGACGAAAGAGAAAGCUGAGAAAAGAAAAGGGGCCCCCUAACUAGAAGAACGAAGAUAGGAAAUGGAAGGAGAGAAGAAAAUAUCCGGGUGGCACAUGAAAUAGCCCCGAAAAAGAGAAAAGAAGGAGAUUAAUUUGGGAAGAAAACGGUGCCACCCGGGAAGGGGCUUUUGUAAAAUUUUUCCCAUCUCCAGAAAUGCAUUUCGUAAACUUUAGAUUUUGUUUUGAAGUUUAUUUCUAGUACAAAUGUUGUUAUAGUCAUCUGGUGUGUACAAGUAAAAAUAAAUUUCUUUUACGGUUUU